UAAUCUGCGAUAAGCGCCGGUAAGGUGAUAUGAACCGUUAUAACCGGCGAUACCCGAAUGGGGAAACCCAGUGUGACUCGUCACACUAUCAUUAACUGAAUCCAUAGGUUAAUGAGGCGAACCGGGGGAACUGAAACAUCUAAGUACCCCGAGGAAAAGAAAUCAACCGAGAUUCCCCCAGUAGCGGCGAGCGAACGGGGAGGAGCCCAGAGCCUGAAUCAGCAUGUGUGUUAGUGGAAGCGUCUGGAAAGGCGCGCGAUACAGGGUGACAGCCCCGUACACAAAAGCGCAUGUGCUGUGAGCUCGAUGAGUAGGGCGGGACACGUGGUAUCCUGUCUGAAUAUGGGGGGACCAUCCUCCAAGGCUAAAUACUCCUGACUGACCGAUAGUGAACCAGUACCGUGAGGGAAAGGCGAAAAGAACCCCGGCGAGGGGAGUGAAAAAGAACCUGAAACCGUGUACGUACAAGCAGUGGGAGCCCCACCACCAAAGCAUUUGCUGUACCGCGUUGACGGAGCGAAGCGACGUCAAACCGAUAAAACAGCAGUGUAAAGUGAGCCGCAGGGCGCUUUGCGCGACAGCGCAAAGGCAGGCGGUUUCGCGUAGCGAAAGCGAAUGCUUUGGGGUGGGGUGACUGCGUACCUUUUGUAUAAUGGGUCAGCGACUUAUAUUCUGUAGCAAGGUUAACCGAAUAGGGGAGCCGGAGGGAAACCGAGUCUUAAUUGGGCGUUAAGUUGCAGGGUAUAGACCCGAAACCCGGUGAUCUAGCCAUGGGCAGGUUGAAGGUUGGGUAACACUAACUGGAGGACCGAACCGACUAAUGUUGAAAAAUUAGCGGAUGACCUGUGGCUGGGGGUGAAAGGCCAAUCAAACCGGGAGAUAGCUGGUUCUCCCCGAAAGCUAUUUAGGUAGCGCCUCGUGAAUUCAUCUCCGGGGGUAGAGCACUGUUUCGGCUAGGGGGCCAUCCCGGCUUACCAACCCGAUGCAAACUGCGAAUACCGGAGAAUGUUAUCACGGGAGACACACGGCGGGUGCUAACGUCCGUCGUGAAGAGGGAAACAACCCAGACCGCCAGCUAAGGUCCCAAAGUCAUGGUUAAGUGGGAAACGAUGUGGGAAGGCCCAGACAGCCAGGAUGUUGGCUUAGAAGCAGCCAUCAUUUAAAGAAAGCGUAAUAGCUCACUGGUCGAGUCGGCCUGCGCGGAAGAUGUAACGGGGCUAAACCAUGCACCGAAGCUGCGGCAGCGACACUGUGUGUUGUUGGGUAGGGGAGCGUUCUGUAAGCCUGUGAAGGUGUGUCGUGAGGCAUGCUGGAGGUAUCAGAAGUGCGAAUGCUGACAUAAGUAACGAUAAAGCGGGUGAAAAGCCCGCUCGCCGGAAGACCAAGGGUUCCUGUCCAACGUUAAUCGGGGCAGGGUGAGUCGACCCCUAAGGCGAGGCCGAAAGGCGUAGUCGAUGGGAAACGGGUUAAUAUUCCCGUACUUGGUGUUACUGCGAAGGGGGGACGGAGAAGGCUAUGUUGGCCGGG
This 1527-nucleotide ribosomal RNA is filed under the name Salmonella enterica. RNAcentral's name for it is "partial 23S ribosomal RNA". It matches the Rfam family "Bacterial large subunit ribosomal RNA", at positions 62 to 1495 of the family's 2925-position model. The record is from RNAcentral. Lineage: Bacteria; Pseudomonadati; Pseudomonadota; Gammaproteobacteria; Enterobacterales; Enterobacteriaceae. RNAcentral also lists the same sequence under 1 other name.